CCCUCACUGCCCACCGGCGCGACCUCCGCUUGGUGGCGAAGAUAGCAGCGGCUGGUGCCGUCGCCGCCGAUUUAGCUAUGUUUGUGUGCCGGGGCGGUGGUCUCGGUAGGCCGAAUGGCAGGGUACAAGGAGGCCAGGAGGAAGAAGAGGAGGAGCAGGAGAGGCCCGCCACUGAGGGGACGCGAGAUGUAGAAGGUGCAGGGGAGGCCGUUGGUGGCGGAGACGCUGGUGGUGCGCAAGGCAGGGAUGUGCCUGCCGAGCCCCCCCGACGGCGAUGGGUCUGGGCGCUGGUGCUUAUGGUUUAACUGCUAUUGUCGUUGGAACCAUUGGCUAUUUAUGCGUAGAUGGAAGGGAUGGAAAAUUUCUGAUAUGAUGUUUGUGACCAAGCGUGGCUUGGCUGAUGGGUGCAACAUAGCUGCCAAACAAUUGGAUCAGGUUUCAAAAAAUGUUCAUGUAAGACUUUUUUUCCCUAUAUUCAGUAAAUAGUUCAACCACUUGCUCGGAGAGGGGUUGUCGAGGAUGAUGGCGACGAGCAAGUCGGUGUCCGUGAAGCCGAAGCCAUUCUAGCUCUUCAAAUCCACAAGGAGAGCCUUGACGGGCUGUAUGAGUGGGACAAGAAGCUCUACGAGGAAGUCACGGCAGAGGAGCGUGUCCGGCUGUGGUACGACAAGAAAUGCGCGCAUCUGAGAGCCAGGACGCCAAUAGUGCAGAGCUAUUCGCCUUCAAGAUUACCAGGGCUGCCAUCAGGACCCCUGGACCAACCUCAGCAUCUCCCUCGCCUUCAAGAGGACUAGGGCUGCCAUCAGGACCUCCGGACCAAGCUCAACAUCUCCCUCUCCUCCGUCGACGCCGUGUCCCGGAGGGUUGUCGCCGUCCGCAACAACGAGCUGCUACCUGGUGCCUGCUGCCGUAGCUCGCUUAGCUCAUCCGAGGGUGCGUGUAUUUAUUGUAGUGUUCUGAAUCGAUCCCCAAGAACACUGAGGCUGCAGGUGUUUGAUGAAUGUUUCU
This is a long non-coding RNA of Triticum dicoccoides, 1008 nucleotides long. RefSeq lists it as uncharacterized. The record is from RefSeq and is a predicted model, not a curated record. The transcript has 4 exons. Lineage: Eukaryota; Viridiplantae; Streptophyta; Magnoliopsida; Poales; Poaceae.